GAUGAACGCUGGCGGCGUGCCUAACACAUGCAAGUCGAGCGGAGAUAUAUGAACAGAUAGAGAUAUUUGGGAAUACAUCUUAGCGGCGGACGGGUGAGUAACACGUGAGGAACCUGCCUUACACUAAGGAAUAACAACGUGAAAACGUUGCUAAUACCGCAUAACACCGCACUAUGGCAUCAUAGAGCGGUCAAAGGAGAGAUCCGGUGUAAGAUGGCCUCGCGCCCGAUUAGUUAGUUGGUGGGGUAACGGCCCACCAAGACUACGAUCGGUAGCCGGACUGAGAGGUCGAACGGCCACAUUGGAACUGAGAGACGGUCCAGACUCCUACGGGAGGCAGCAGUGGGGAAUAUUGGGCAAUGGGGGAAACCCUGACCCAGCAACGCCGCGUGAAGGAAGAAGGCCUUGGUGUAACUCUUUGAUCAGGGAAGAAACAAAUAGAACGGUACCUAGAAAACAAAGACCAACGGACUAACUAACCGUAGUCCACGCAGCCGCCGGGUAAGUAACCGGUAAGACCGGUAG
RNAcentral lists this ribosomal RNA (525 nucleotides) under uncultured bacterium. Its description in RNAcentral is "bacterial SSU rRNA". It matches the Rfam family "Bacterial small subunit ribosomal RNA", at positions 28 to 530 of the family's 1533-position model. The record is from RNAcentral.